UACGUAGGGUGCUAGCGUUGUUCGGAAUUAUUGGGCGUAAAGCGCGUGUAGGUGGUUUGUUAAGUCAUGUGUGAAAUCCCUGGGCUCAACCGAGGAAGUGCACGUGAAACUACCAAGCUAGAGGACGGCAGAGGAUGGUGGAAUUCCUAGUGUAGAGGUGAAAUGCGCAGAUAUCAGGAGGAACACCAAUAGCGAAGGCAGCUCGCUGGGACGGUACUGACGCUGAGGCGCGAAAGCGUGGGGAGCGAACAGG
Molecule: ribosomal RNA, 253 nt
Filed under: uncultured bacterium
Lineage: Bacteria
Description: partial 16S ribosomal RNA
Rfam family: Bacterial small subunit ribosomal RNA
Source: RNAcentral